This 85-nucleotide transfer RNA is filed under the name Legionella pneumophila 2300/99 Alcoy. RNAcentral's name for it is "tRNA-Ser". It matches the Rfam family "tRNA". Rfam says of the family: Transfer RNA (tRNA) molecules are approximately 80 nucleotides in length. Their secondary structure includes four short double-helical elements and three loops (D, anti-codon, and T loops). Lineage: Bacteria; Pseudomonadati; Pseudomonadota; Gammaproteobacteria; Legionellales; Legionellaceae. The record is from RNAcentral.
UGGAGAGAUGGCCGAGCGGUCGAAGGCGCACGCCUGGAAAGUGUGUAUACGGCAACGUAUCGAGGGUUCGAAUCCCUCUCUCUCC